AAAAGAAAACUUGUUUUACUCAAACCACAUCACCUUUUUAUUUUACAAAUUAAAUUAUAAAAUUAUAUUUGACAAAUGUGCUAAUUUUUUAAGUAAUUAUCCAUUUUCUAUUAAUAACACUCGCGGUUUGCUCUACUUUUCUUUUGCGCUCAAAAAACAAAACCAAGUCAUUUUGCUUGCCCAGUUGCAAUUGCCCUAACCGCGCAGCCCGACGGAGCGGUUGCAGUUCUCCUCCAGAUCGACCUUUCUCUCCGGCUCGUUCUCAACAGACUUCUUUUUUCAGAUUUGUUUGCGUAAAGCUUGGCUGGUAAGUUUUCCAUUGCAAGAUGACUGGAAUUCUGGGAUUCAUGAACCUUUCACCCAAGAAUAAGAAUUUGGUAGUUGCUGGUGGCUUGUCCGUAUUUGUUUUUGGGGUAUAUUUUUACACUAUGAGAGCUGUUGGUGGUACAGAUGAGCUUCAGGUUGCUAUAGAUAAGUUUGAAGGGCAGAAAAGCAAGCAGGAUGCUUGAGCAUGAAACUAAAGGCUUGAUCUUGUGAUCAUUGGUGUAAUAAUGUAAUCGGUCAGACUGAGGAUAACCUUUUGGGAAAGCUGUUCUUUUCUUUGCAAGCAUACAUUUUAGUUUGAUCCGUAUGGAAAAUUGAAAAAUGAAAAGAAGCUAGCUAGUUCUCUCAA
Molecule: long non-coding RNA, 673 nt
Organism: Manihot esculenta (cassava)
Lineage: Eukaryota; Viridiplantae; Streptophyta; Magnoliopsida; Malpighiales; Euphorbiaceae
Exons: 2
Source: RefSeq, a predicted model, not a curated record